This is a non-coding RNA of Chinchilla lanigera (long-tailed chinchilla), 671 nucleotides long. The record is from the annotation of a RefSeq genome assembly. Lineage: Eukaryota; Metazoa; Chordata; Mammalia; Rodentia; Chinchillidae.
UCAGCGUCUGCUCAUUUGCAUGUCCCAGAUCACAGCCCUCUGCCCUGAACAUUUAUGAAUCUGCUCACACGCUGUGCAGGACUCAGUCCCAGUCAGGACACAGCAUGGACAUGAGGGUCCCCGCUCAGCUCCUGGGGCUGCUGCUGCUCUGGCUCCCAGGAGGCCGAUGUGACAUCCAGGUGACCCAGUCUCCAUCCUCGCUGGCUGCCUCUGUAGGAGACACAGUCACCAUCAACUGCAGAGCCAGUCAGAACAUUUAUAAUGCUUUAAAUUGGUAUCAGCAGAAACCAGGGAAAGCUCCCAGGCUCCUGAUCUAUGCUGCAAGCAAUUUGCAGUCUGGGGUCCCAUCCAGGUUCAGCGGCAGUGGAUAUGGGACAGAUUUCACUCUCACCAUCAGCAGCCUGCAGCCUGAAGAUGUUGCAACUUAUUACUGUUUACAGUAUCAGAGCUCCCCUCCCACGGUGAUACAAGCCAUAACAAAAACCUCCCAGGAAGCAGAAGUGUGAGGCUGGGCAGCCCCAGCUGCUCCUCCUGAUGUCUCCACCUGCUGAAAAUAUUUCCUAGAUGCAGCCAGGGUUUGAAGAUGACUGGACGAUUUGGUAGAAGGGGUCAGGGAUUCCCUCCUGCAGUGAUUAUCUUUCCUUCUCCUCAACCGCAGCAGCCCUGAAUAU